Molecule: long non-coding RNA, 524 nt
Organism: Dalotia coriaria
Lineage: Eukaryota; Metazoa; Arthropoda; Insecta; Coleoptera; Staphylinidae
Exons: 3
Source: RefSeq, a predicted model, not a curated record
UCCGUUUCCUCUUCAUUAUGCGAAUUCUGGACAUGGUAAUGUGUAUAUCUCUUCACAAUAUAAAUAGGCUGGUUAAUGCGACGCGCGUCAAUUGCAUCAACAUGUUUGCUUUGAGACUUGCAUUGAUUCUAGUGAUCACAACAUCGACUCAUGCACUUGACUGUGGGGUUCUUUUAAACGACACCAGUAAGGAUCUAUCGCAGGUUAUUGCUACAUGUUUAAUACCAACGAUUCCGGUGGUUGAAGAAAAACCCGAAAAUGUCACCUUAGUCACGAACACUACAAAUGAGGACGACCCAGAGGAGCCUCCAACUUAUGAUACUUUGAAUUUCUUUCCGAACUAUUAUUCACGAGAAGGUCCCCGUCGUGGAUUAAGAGUGCGACGCGAAACUCAGAACAAAACUACAACUCCACCAACGUCUAUGAAGCCUGUUGUGUAUUCUACUAUCAACCAUGACAAUGACUCCAAAGAUAAUCCAAAUGAUCCGGCGAGGUGUGUCGUUCAAUGCAUAAUGGCAGCAUAU